Long non-coding RNA from Gallus gallus (chicken), 1005 nucleotides. The record is from Ensembl. Lineage: Eukaryota; Metazoa; Chordata; Aves; Galliformes; Phasianidae.
CUGCGGGAAGCCCACCCGCACCCGGGGCCCACGACCGCCGCUCGCGAGACCGCCCGCACUGCCGGCGCAGCCAACUCCAGUCCCGCGAGGAUCCCCUCGAGCCCCCGGGACUGCUCGCCUGCUCGCCCCCAGCCGGGAACUCAGCAGAAUAAGCGAACACGGAGGGGCCGCACGCUCCGGAACGCGCGGUCAUCCGCACAGCCGCGCGGGGACCGCGCGCUUAAGGCAGAAAAAUCGCGGGGCUUCUCUGUCUCCGUCCCUUCGACAUUUUGGAAACCGAAGGUAACACCUCAUCGAAUGGUUCUCGGGGCAGCGGGCGGGGAUGGGAGCACCCGGCGCGACGGAACCCAUCUUUAGGGCGAUAUUUAAUUUACAAAAACUAUUGCGGAGAGGAAAGAAGGGCUGCGAUUGUCCUCGUAGUCGUAGGAGACAGAUUGUGGGAAGCCCGAUGUGGUGGAGAAACGGAAUCCUUACACGAAAAUAAGGAGUAUCAGCAGAGAAACAAAAACGAAAGGAAAGCGCGAGCCCCGGGAGCUCGGGAGAUCUUUGUCCCGCGUGCGGAGAUCGGUGCGUCUCGCUAUCCGUGGAUCGGUUUCGAACAAGAAAAUAGAAGAGCGCGAUAUAUUAAAAUAUGGUUGUUGAUUUUUUUUCACAUGUAUAUCGUGUGCAAAUAUACGCAUUGUGUAUAUAAACACGGAGCAUCUACGCGUUUCAGUACUUUUGCAUUUAAGAGUACGAAAAAGCACAGCACAUCCGAAGCCUUAGGCACGAAGCAUUAUGUACGAAGGGCGUAAGGAGCCCUCCCGGCCACAGCGCGGGCCGCUCCGCCACCCUCAGCCCCGGGCGGGGCCGCCGGGGGGACGCGGGGCCGCCGGGCUCUCCCUCGGGCCGGGUCCCUCCGUGGGCAGCGCGGAGCUCCGAGCCGGGAGCGGCUCUCAGCUCCGGGCCGGCGCAGACCCGGGCGGCAGCGGCGAGGCGACUCCGGCCCCGCCAGGUGCCAGAGCG